UACAGAGGGGGCAAGCGUUGUUCGGAAUUACUGGGCGUAAAGGGCGCGUAGGCGGCCUGCUAAGUCGAACGUGAAAUCCCUGGGCUCAACCCAGGAACUGCGUCCGAUACUGGUUGGCUUGAAUCCGGGAGAGGGAUGCGGAAUUCCAGGUGUAGCGGUGAAAUGCGUAGAUAUCUGGAGGAACACCGGUGGCGAAGGCGGCAGCCUGGACCGGCAUUGACGCUGAGGCGCGAAAGCCAGGGGAGCAAACGGG
RNAcentral lists this ribosomal RNA (253 nucleotides) under uncultured bacterium. RNAcentral's name for it is "partial 16S ribosomal RNA". It matches the Rfam family "Bacterial small subunit ribosomal RNA", at positions 524 to 776 of the family's 1533-position model. The record is from RNAcentral.